This 466-nucleotide ribosomal RNA is filed under the name uncultured Oomycota. RNAcentral's name for it is "LSU rRNA". The stretch from base 1 to 83 matches the Rfam family "Bacterial large subunit ribosomal RNA", at positions 476 to 559 of the family's 2925-position model. The record is from RNAcentral. Lineage: Eukaryota; Oomycota.
GUGCGAGACCGAUAGCGAACAAGUACCGUGAGGAAAAGAUGAAAAGAACUUUGAAAAGAGAGUUAAAGAGUACCUGAAACUGCUGAAAGGGAAGCGAAUCGUAUCCAGUGUCUAUAAUCUGCGGCAUAUUUCAUUGGCGGCGGUGCGCGUGCUUUUGCGUCGGAAGCGGCUUUUGUUGCUCUGUGCUUUUGCUGUGCGUGGUGUUGCUGGUGCCCUGUGUUGCGGUGGGACGUCAGAGUCAGUUUGUAUGCUGCGGGAAAUGGCUGCCGAGGAGGUAGGGCGAGAUUUCGGUCUUGGCUGUUAUAUCUUGGUGGUUUGUUGUCGUGGUUGAGACUGAGGUGCCUACAAUGUGCUUUUGAGUGUACCGGGUUCUCAUUUGGUGGACUGUUUGGAUAGCUUGCUAUGCUUGUGGUUUUUUCAUCGGGUGAUUGAGUCUGGUGGUAACUUGUUGCUGUUCGGGACUUUG